Long non-coding RNA from Etheostoma spectabile (orangethroat darter), 659 nucleotides. RefSeq lists it as uncharacterized. The transcript has 4 exons. The record is from RefSeq and is a predicted model, not a curated record. Lineage: Eukaryota; Metazoa; Chordata; Actinopteri; Perciformes; Percidae.
GCAACUGCCCCUGAUUGGCUUAGCUGCCCAUCUGGUGGAAGAGCCUAAAUAAACUUUUUUGUCUUUCUUUUUUCUUUUUUUUUCUGUCCUGGCUGCAUUAAUAUGAUAAUACGCCAAUCAUUACCAAAGUUAAAUCAAAUUAAGUCGCUACAUCAACCAAUACGGCCCUCGGAGAUGCCCUCUGCCCCCAGUCACGUGACUUUGACAUUCUCACACACGGAGAACCGCAAAGGAACGAGGGAAAGCUAAACCCUUCUGCCUUCACGCGUAGGGAGGAGGGGCCUGAGAGGAAGGACAAAGAGAGCAUGGUUACGGGUAAUUUACAUAAGCAACUGGCAAGACACAGCAUCUCCACGGGAAUCCUCACAGAUGUGUUAAAACCGCAUAUCUGCAAUGUCUUUCUCAAGUUCACCUGGAACCUCCAAAUCUCAAUGAGAUUAGAAGAUGGAAACCACUCAUAGCGGAUGGGUAGCUAAGGUUAGCACAAAAACUGGAAACGGGGGCCAACAGCUAGCCUGGUUCAGUCCAAAGAAGCACAAUAUGACAACGGGGGACAAGGGGAAACAAGGCAGUUGUUUCACAAUGAUGACAUCACAAUCACAGGUGCUUAAAGGCCAACAGAGAGAGGGACGAGUGAACAGGAGACGUAUCAGGUAAUC